UAGAAAUACAUAAGGUUUAUUAAAUCUUAUAUUUAAAAUAGAAACUAUAUCGUCAUGGCUCAUUUAAAAUCAAUAGAUCUGAUCGGGUAUCCAGAACAUUAAAUAGAUUAUGACAAAAGGAAAUUGGCAGGUUUAUAUUAAGUUUAUUAUGACGGCGAUUAUAAGUAGUAUGACCUUGUCAAGGUCGUGUAACUUUUCAGAUAAGUGUUCUAUUUAAUAACGUAUUCAUUGGGCUAAGUAGAUCAGUAUACUAUACGGAAGUCAACUGAGAGGAUCAUAAUUGUACUUUACUGAAGGAAAACAAACAAAAUGGCGUCCAAAACAAAGUUAACCCAGUUCAGACGUAGAUAUCUUUCUGAAUCUGAAAUAUCUGUGAUACAGUCCCCUAUAUCAUGUCAACUUGGAGAAGUGUACAGAAACAUUGCAGACACAUAUUUCAAUGAACCAACCAAAGAAAACCUGCCUCACCAUAAAUCUUUUGAACUUGUGUUUAGUAGCAGCGGACGAAACAUCCUAAAGAUGUUGUAUAUGUUUUAUGUACUAAAGGAAUACACAUGAAAUCACACUAAAUUAAUUGAGUAAUAUUGAACCUAAACGAAUCACAAGGACAUCCUUUACAGUAGACGUUCCGAGAAAAUGGAUGAACCGCGUUACAAACUGAUAUGUUUAGACAAGGUUUACCCAGCAGUGAAGAGCAAUGAUUUCAACAACAUGUGAGACAGAUGUUUUGAUUUGCCUUGGAGUUCGGUAUUGGCGUUAAUACUAAUAGCCAAAUGACUAACCUGAUGUGACAUUGUUGAGGCUAGGUUGGAAUAUCGUGUGAAGCAAUUGAAGAACUGAUAAACUCUUGAUUAAAAACAAAAACUUAAUUUUGUAAUCGCAAAUAAAUUAGAAUAUUGCAUUG
Long non-coding RNA from Mytilus californianus (California mussel), 904 nucleotides. RefSeq lists it as uncharacterized. Lineage: Eukaryota; Metazoa; Mollusca; Bivalvia; Mytilida; Mytilidae. The record is from RefSeq and is a predicted model, not a curated record. The transcript is spliced from 2 exons.